This 26-nucleotide non-coding RNA is filed under the name Mus musculus (house mouse). The record is from RNAcentral. Lineage: Eukaryota; Metazoa; Chordata; Mammalia; Rodentia; Muridae.
UGCAAAGAAUGAGGAAGACACAGUCA